AGAACAAGGUUUCCUUUGCGAUGUUGAUCAGCGAAGGGUUAGUCGGGCCUAAGGUGAUGGCGAAAGCUGAAGCCGAUGGACAUAGGGUUAAUAUUCCCUAACUUUUUAUUUGUGCGAUGGAGUGACGAAGGUUAGUAUGUCUUGCGCAUUAUUGGAUUUGCGUUUGUGUCAUCAGUGUGAUUCUUAGGUAAAUCCGGGAGUCUGGUUUUAAUACCGACCGCAAGUGAAGCAGAAAUGCCUAGGUUCGCCUAGUGCAGAUAAGGCAAAGCAACUUUCCGAGAAAAGCUUCUAAGCAUAACAAAUAAAAAACCGUACCUAAAACCGACACAGGUGUUCGAGUCGAGUAGACUAAGGCGAACGAGUGAUUGCUUCUCAAGGAACUCGGCAAAAAAGCAGCCGUAACUUCGGGAUAAGGCUUGCCUCCACCACUUUGUUUUUAAAGUUAACAAAAUUAAUUCAUUUACUUUGUCGCUACGAAUUUUUUGUCGGUCAAUGUAGUUGGUCUACAUCUUCCCUAAAAAAAUUCUAUGCUCCUCGUAACUAAAUCAAUUUUCUUAAUUUAAAGAAAAUAAAUUGAUGGAGUCCGAAGAAUGAGAAAAAAUUUAACAAUGCUUAAUUGUUAAAUGUAUCGAGAGAUAAGUUUGUCAGAUCUUUGUUUGGACUCUCUCCGCUUUGAAAAUAAAGUGGUGGAGGCCGCAGCGAAAGAUUUCCUGCCAACUGUUUACCAAAAACACAGCUCCAUGCGAACUCGUAAGAGGAUGUAUAUGGGGUGACGCCUGACCAAUGCCAGAAGGUUAAAUACGGGUGGUGAUAUGACUUCGGUUGUAUUGCUGGCUUGUAUAAGCCCUGGUGAAUGUCGGCCGUAACUAUAACGGUCCUAAGGUUCUCUGCUUAUUAAAGAUGAGCAGAGAAGGACUAGGACUGUUAUAGAAAAAAGUAAACAAUUAAUUUAAAUUCAUUACAUGUUUAAGCUACCUGGCACGCAGUAAUGUGUGUUAGUCCAAUCAUGAUAAACGAGAGACCAACGUCAUGGACCCUACUUCGAAAGAAGAGGGUAAAGAUAGAGUCCAACUGAGAGGAAUAGUUGAGCGUAAUUCCUUGUCUGGUAAGUUCAGACGUGCACGAAUGGCGUAAUGAGUGGGAAACUGUCUCGAGAAGCAGCUCGGUGAAAAUACAAUACCGGUGAAGAUGCCGGUUACCUGCAGAUAGACGAAAAGACCCCGUGAGCUUUACUAUAGCUUAAUAUUGAACAUGUUUUGUGUCUGCGUAGCAUAGUUGGGAGGCUUUGAAGUAUAGGUUUCGGCUUAUAUGGAGCCAACAGUGAAAUACCAACCUUACUUGAGGCAUGUUCUAAUCUGUACGGAAAAAACGUACGGAGACAGUAUUUGGCGGGUAGUUUGAGUGGGGCGCUCUCCUCCUAAAAGGUAACGGAGGAGUCUAUUAAGGUCCUCUAGGCGCGAAUGGAAACCGUGCCGAUAGCGUAAUGGCAAAAGAGGGCUUAACUGCAAGACGGACAUGUCGAGCAGGUGCGAAAGCAGAGCAUAGUGAACCGACGACACGCUUUAGAUGCGGUCGAAGAUUAACGGAUAAAAGCUACCACGGGGAUAACAGGCUAGUUCUGCCCAAGAGUUCAUAUCGACGGCAGAGUUCGGCACCUCGAUGUCGGCUCAUCUUAUCCUGGAGGUGGAGAAGCUUCCAAGGGUUUGGCUGUUCGCCAAUUAAAAAGAUACGUGAGCUGGGUUCAAACCGUAGGGGGGAAGGAACAACUGACAAUUAACUUUUGACAAUUGACAAAGAAUUUUUCGCAAAGCGAAAAAUUCUUCAGUCACCUGUCAAUGGUCACCUGUCACAUGUUCAUCCCUCCUUAGUUUGAACCCGAGGCGAUGAGACUAAACUCAUCAAUAAUGACAUUAAUAAUCACGGCGGCUAUAUACAGUGAUGUAUAUAGACAAGUUGACUAAUUUCGGGAAAACCUAAACGAGAAAUCGUAUGGCAAUUCCGAGGGAAACAAUGGAGAUCAUUGUGCCCGUAGAGACUAAACGUCAGCACCCCUUUGUAAAAAUAAGGGUUAUGCUAUAGUCCGAUCCCUCUUGAAAAAGAGGUUUACGCGGUUUGGAGACCAGAGCGUAAUGUAAAACACUAAUGCGUGAGACAGGUUGGUCUCCUAUCUUCUGCAGGCGUUGAAUUUUGAGGGGAUUUGCUCCUAGUACGAGAGGACCGGAGUGAACUGACCUCUGGUGUGGCUGCUGUCCUGCCAAGGGCACCGCAGCGUAGCUAUGUCGGGAAUGGAUAACCUCUGAAAGCAUCUAAGAGGGAAGCCAACCCCAAGAUCAGAAUUCGUUUGAGGCCCGUAAGAGAUGAUUACGUUGAUAGGCUCUAUGUGUAAGACGAGUAAUCGUUUCAGCAGAGGAGUACUAAUACGCCGAUUCUUAUU
This 2434-nucleotide ribosomal RNA is filed under the name Candidatus Yonathbacteria bacterium RIFCSPHIGHO2_01_FULL_44_41. Its description in RNAcentral is "partial 23S ribosomal RNA". It matches the Rfam family "Bacterial large subunit ribosomal RNA", at positions 1342 to 2925 of the family's 2925-position model. Lineage: Bacteria; Candidatus Yonathiibacteriota. The record is from RNAcentral.